Felis catus (domestic cat) is the source of this 912-nucleotide long non-coding RNA. RefSeq lists it as uncharacterized. The record is from RefSeq and is a predicted model, not a curated record. Lineage: Eukaryota; Metazoa; Chordata; Mammalia; Carnivora; Felidae. The transcript has 2 exons.
AUUUAAACAGCAUACGGUAAGAAGUUAGAUUCCCCAAGGGACACUGGAGAAAGCCUGAAUUCUUAAUCUUCGAAGAAAAAAAACAUCAAAAGGAAAAUGGUGUUCAAGCUGUCACUCAUCAGCCUGUUCCUCCUGUUUGUCACUAACACUUUGGGGAGCACUACAACAUUAAUGACCUCAAGCUCUAUGACAGUCUCGAGUCCCACGAUGAGUCUGAAUUCUCUGACAAUCCCAAAUUCCAAGACAACCUCGAAUUCCAAGACAACCUCGAAUUCCAAGACAACCUCGAAUUCCAAGACAACCUCGAAUUCCAAGACAACCUCGAAUUCCAAGACAACCUCGAAUUCCAAGACAACCUCGAAUUCCAACAUAACCUUGAAUUCCAACACAACCUCGAAUUCCAACACAAUCUCGACUCUCAAGACAACUUCAAAUCUCCAAAGAACCUCAAAUACAAAGAUGACUUCAAAUGCCAAGACACCUCUGAAAACAGCAGUGACCCCAAAGAUAGCCACAACCAUGAACAUGAUGACUAUGGGAAGUGGUGGCACGAAACUGAAUCCAAUGGACAGCACUCACUUUCUUUUCUAUAUAAUAUGUUCACUGUUUUGUGUGCACUCAGGCUGAAGUGGACUUGAACUUCUGCAUUCCUAUCUCAGUUCAUUACUAUCUGCCGAAUUACAACAAGCACACUAGGAAAAUCAAAUUUAUUUCAACUUACUUGUUAGGAAGUUAUCAUUAUCCUGGCUUAAUUAGGUUGUAGAUUUUAAUUGUGUAAGUUUAUUACCUUAAUAUAAUGGUUUUCUUCCUUAAAAAUGCUAAAACAAGCAAAAUGCCACAUGUUUGCCUUUUAAACGUCUGCAGAAUUGAAUUGAAACUCAGAUUUUUACAUUAAAAGUGUAAGAGAAGAAA